RNAcentral lists this ribosomal RNA (324 nucleotides) under uncultured eukaryote. Its description in RNAcentral is "partial 18S ribosomal RNA". It matches the Rfam family "Eukaryotic small subunit ribosomal RNA", at positions 1470 to 1796 of the family's 1831-position model. The record is from RNAcentral.
CCCUUAGAUGUUCUGGGCCGCACGCGCGCUACACUGAUGCAUUCAACGAGUUUCUUCCUGUUCCGAGAGGAAUGGGUAACCUUUUGAAAGUGCAUCGUGAUAGGGAUAGACUAUUGCAAUUAUUGGUCUUCAACGAGGAAUUCCUAGUAGACGUAGUUCAUCAGACUGCAUCGAUUACGUCCCUGCCCUUUGUACACACCGCCCGUCGCUCCUACCGAUUGAAUGCUCAGGUGAGCCAUUCGGACUUUCAUCAUGCUGGUUUCCAGUUUUGAUGAAGGAAAGUCUUGCGAACCUUAUCAUUUAGAGGAAGGAGAAGUCGUAACA